Molecule: small nucleolar RNA, 130 nt
Filed under: Sorex araneus (European shrew)
Lineage: Eukaryota; Metazoa; Chordata; Mammalia; Eulipotyphla; Soricidae
Description: Small nucleolar RNA SNORA70 (ENSSARG00000018758.1)
Rfam family: Small nucleolar RNA SNORA70
About the family: snoRNA U70 seems to be exclusive to mammals and is a member of the H/ACA class of snoRNA which contain H (ANANNA) and ACA box motifs. H/ACA box snoRNAs are involved in the conversion of uridines to pseudouridines (5-ribosyluracil) a constituent of structural RNAs (transfer, ribosomal, small nuclear, and small nucleolar).
Source: RNAcentral
CCGUAACCAAAUAAACAGACAAAUAAAAUAUUGAUAGUGGUUCAGUGUACAAUGUCUUCCAACAGCAGCCUCCUGGUAGUGUUUGCAGCCUGUUACUGGUAGAACUGUCCUAAGGGAUCUGGUGACAGUU